AAGUUAAUUCAACAAUUUAACAUUAAAAAAGUUGAGAUAACACAGAAAUGUAAGUUGAAUAGAAAUUUAGAUCAAUUUGUUACACCAAAUUAAUAUUUCAAGUUAGAACAACUAACAACUUUAAGUUGGUUAUUAGUAUUGCCAACAAAGGCUGAUGAGCAUGCGCAGUUCCAAUGCUUUUUUAAACAACGCCAUUUUAUUUUCUCCUGUUUCAUUUUCGAGUCACCUUAAGCGGCCUCUGUUUAUUCCCUCAUUGUGAUCGCUCUGGUAAGUGUAGCUAUGUGUAUCAAUUCACGAUAUGAUUUAAAUGAAGUUUAUUCACAAUAUGCGCUUUUGUACAACAUAGGUGGCAGCAAGUUAGUCAGUUAAAUUUUCCCACCUGGUCUUAUUGUUGCCUCAGGUCAGACGUCGCCUAUUUUUUCUGCCUGACAGUUUAAAUUAAUCUCUCCGGUAGGUGCUGUUCUUUAUAUAAUAUUUACCAUAAGAGUUGAAAUGUGUUUGUUCAAAAUAUGUGCUUUUGUAUGCCGUUUUAGGCCGGAUGACAGACUGGCUGCGUGGCGUCUCUGCUGCGUGCCAGAAGCGUGGUGGCUGCUUUGCGUUUUCUGUGUCUUUAGAGUUGCUUCAGGCGGCGCCCUGUUAACGUUGGCCCGUCAUUGUUAUCGCUCCGGUAAGCGGUGGUUCUUUUGUGUAUCAAUUUAAGCCAUGAUUUAAAUGAAAUUUGUUCACAAUAUGCUCAUCUUUACAACGGUGUAGGUGGCGGCAAGUUAGUCAUUUCAGUUUUCAUGCUUUGUCUUCGAGUUGCCUGAGAAGGGUCAGACGUACGCAAGUUUUCUUUUCCUCGACAGUGCAAUCGCUCUGGCAGCUGCUUAGGUGGCUCCAAACCGAUCAGUUCAGGUUUUCUGUUUCGUCUUCGAGUUGCAUGAGAAGUGUCAGAUGAGCACAAGGUUUUUUUUUUUUUUUCUCGACAGUACAAUCGCUCUGGCAGGUAAUGUUCUAUGUAGGCUAUGAGAAUAAUUAACAGUAAGGUCAGAAUGUAUUUGUUUACAAUAUGUGCUUCUGUACAGCUGCUUAGGUGGCUCCAAACUGGUCAGUUCAACCUCUCCUGCUUCGUCUUCGAGAAGUCUUUUAGUCAUUCGGUGGCUUUUUUUUCCAGACAGUAUCAUGACUUAGGUUGAUGCAGUGCAAGAUAUGCAGAUUUGAACACCCUGCCCAGGAGGUCCUUUUGAAACAUGAUUAAUUGUGCCACUACCAGGGAAGAUACUGACACCUACCCUGCCUCUACAAAGAUUGCAUCUGCUCCUUUAAAACCACUGGUUGACGUCUCACCUUUUAAGAUCACACAAGUGCUUAUCUUCACGUGAGAGUCAAUUAACAUUGAAUGGUGAAUUGUGUGACUUUAAGGAAAUUUGUAAAAUGCCCUAUUACUCCAAACAUAUAAGGAGCCAUUUUUAAAAAAUCAUGAAACUUUAAGGUGCCCUUUUAGCCAGUGUGGUUUUUGAAACACAUCUGAUUUCAUCAUCCAGUGGUCAAAAUCAUUGCAGCUUUUCCAAUACAGACUUUAAAGCAAAUAUCAUUAUUCGAAAUGCAGAACCAAAAGACAGCGAGCCACAAACUGUUGUUAUGCACACACUUUUAUCACCAUUGCAGUUAAUUUUAUAUUGCUUGUGAUAGAUAUGAAGGACAGAUAUGGAAGCCAAUACAUGUUUGACUGGACACGUUGUUAUUUUUGCACAUUAUUUUGGACUUGAAUUUUGUGAUAGUUAAUUUAAUUGGGAAAGCAUCAAAUAAAAACUGAGUAGAAGUUUUUAAUUUUGCAACACAAAUGUGACAAAUAAGCUCUUAACUUAGUUAAGUUACUUGAGUAAAACCUAAAGUUCUGAAGCUGCAAUAUAAAAACCAAAAAAAAAAAAGUUGAGAGCUCAAAAACCUUUUUGAAGUUUUUUCAACUUUUUUUUUUUUAAAGCAACUUCAAAUAUCAGGUUUUGUAAACAACUAAUUGACCUUUAAGUUGAGUAAACUCAAAAAUCUGUUGAAGCUGGUAGCCUC
This is a long non-coding RNA of Carassius auratus (goldfish), 2046 nucleotides long. RefSeq lists it as uncharacterized. The transcript has 3 exons. The record is from RefSeq and is a predicted model, not a curated record. Lineage: Eukaryota; Metazoa; Chordata; Actinopteri; Cypriniformes; Cyprinidae.